CCAACCAAACCUCAACAAGCGGCACUAAAUAUCAGUUACUGUCUCACUCAAUUUCAUGGAUUCCACCUCGCCCCCAUUUGUUAUCCUCUCACUCAGUAGGGGUUGAAAAUUUUGAAAGAGUAAAAGGGUUGAGUUUCCUUGUGGAUACCAUUACUAUUCAUGUCCAACUCAUGUAAUUUUUUAAUUUUUUCUUUCAAAGUUGCAGUAACUCAUAUUCACCUUCUUACUAUGUCACAACUUCACCUCCAUUUUCUUCACAUACCAUCCCUUUCCUCAACAUAACAACACAAACCACACACAUCAACAAAACCUCCAUUCUUCAUUACACCAAAACUCACUUCUUCAUUCACAUCAUAAAACCAUAACCUUGUUUUUUUCUCUCAUGUAGACAACCUCAAUCCAUGCACACUAUUCCUUCUUCAUCUACACAUACCUUACAUCAUCUCUUAUCUUCAUGCUAUUAUUAGCCAUUCACAACACAACUUCCACAAAACCAUAAAAGCCUUCACUUUACUCCAUCAACUACACUUUAUUUCAAAACUCUUUAUCAUCUUCAUAAAACCUCUCAUGCUAUUUCAUUUAUUCCAACCAUAUACAUCCUCCAUAUUUUCACUAGCUCAUACUUCACACACCAUGAAAACAUAACCAAACAAACUUUUUCCUUCAUAAAACUACCACCUUGUCACUCUAUUUUCAACAACCAUAAGCCAUUUUCAUACCACCAUAAGCUCAUUCCUAUAUUCUACCAUUUUCCAUCUCAGACUUCAUGAAACCACAACCAACCAUAACUCCUCAUCUCUUUUAUUCAUCCUUCAUAAAUCUUGAACUCACAUAAAACAUUCACUCUUUCACUCAUAAACACAAAACCUCACUUUUCCUUUUGAUUCUCUCAUGGAUCCAUCUCCAUAAACAUCAUUACACUACAAAAUCUCACCACCACUACACAUCAUUUUUCCGAGUCAGCUUCGACGUUGUACGUUAACUCUUUCUUUAAUAUCUCUUUUGUUCAUAUUGAUUCAGUGAGUUCAUUUGCUUUGGUGUUUGUUUUAUUGUUGUUAAAAAAAGGAGAGAGAGAGAAGAGAGAAGAGAGAGAGAGAGAGAGAGAAAUUUGUGUGAGUUUUAUUUGUUUUUCAUUCAUUUAAUAUGUAUAUAUUUGGUAGCUAUUUCACUUAUUUUGUUUCAUUUAAGUGUAUCAUUUGGAAAGAAAAAAAAGAAUGAUGCCAUGUGUAUUAUUUGGAUAGUUAGGUGUUAAGUUUUUUAUUAAAAAAAUUGUGUAGUAAGGAGCAGCAGUGCAGGCGCUGCCUCCACUUGUUUUUUUUACUAUGUUUCUGUUUAUUUAUUUUUACUUCAUUUUAUUUUUGUUUCUAUUUUCUCUAUCUUGGUUUUGUAUGGAUUAAGGAUUGUAGUGGGCUUUGGGCUCUAUUUGCUAGGACAACCCCAUGUCAACAUUUACAUGUUUUCUAUUUUGUUUUUUGUUUUUUUAUUUAUUCUUUUAUUUUUUGAUUAGUUCAAUUAUUUAGUUAGUAAUUAAUUAUUAUUACUAUUUUAA
RNAcentral lists this long non-coding RNA (1549 nucleotides) under Lathyrus oleraceus (garden pea). RNAcentral describes it as "Pisum sativum (pea) long non-coding RNA (PSAT_LNC016939)". The record is from RNAcentral. Lineage: Eukaryota; Viridiplantae; Streptophyta; Magnoliopsida; Fabales; Fabaceae.